AAAAAAACAACAACAAGGGAAUAAACCCUAAACGAUGCCCCUCCCUUCUCCGUCGCCUUGAAAGCCAGAACUCUCCUCUCUCUCGUUCCGAUUCGGACAGAGUAGAGGAUGGCUCCAAUGGCGCGCAAAGGUAAGAUUCUUCUUCCCUUUUCUCUUUUAUUUUGUAUAUAUUCUAUUACAUAUAAUUAAUAGCAAACAGAAAAGGAAAGAAAAGCAACCGAAAAAAAGAAUAGUAGAGAGAAAGAAGAAAACCUUCUCUUUUUUUUUGUAUUGAUCUUUUUUUGUUUUUGAUACAGUCUCUGUGUGUUCCUUCGUUCGGUUUACAAUCGAUUUUAUAUCGAAACUACAAAAUAAAGAAAAAAGAGAAAAAUCUCAUUCUUUUUCGCUAUUUUAUCUUCUUCCUUUUUUGCUGCUUUGGGCUUGUUGUUUGCUGCAGUAUGGGUACGGAGACGCGUGACGUGGCUCGGCGCGUACGAAGGCAGAGGCUAGCGUGGAGCGGCUCGGAGGCGUGGCUCGUGGGGCCGAGGGAAAACCCUGGUGGCUGCGGCGCUGGAGGCAUUCUGGAAACCCUCGGGGUUUCUGAAAAUUAUUCAAAUCGGGCCAUAGUGUAUUGGGCCUAGGGUUUUGGGUAUGGUUGUAUUUGGGUUUGAUUUUGGGCUAGUAAUUUAGGUUUAGGUUUGGGCCGUGUUGAUUUGGUCUGUACGAUUUUUGGCUUGUAACUAUGGACUGAUAUUAUUUGUAAAUGGA
This 747-nucleotide long non-coding RNA is filed under the name Gossypium barbadense (sea-island cotton). RNAcentral describes it as "long non-coding RNA (GBAR_LNC017049)". Lineage: Eukaryota; Viridiplantae; Streptophyta; Magnoliopsida; Malvales; Malvaceae. The record is from RNAcentral.